CGAGUCGGUCGGAUGAUCGCGGGCAGCAAUGUUCGAGGAAAGUCCGGACUCCAUAGGGCAAGAGUGGUGGAUAACGUCCACCUGGGGUGACCCACGGGAAAGUGCAACAGAAAGUAAACCGCCUAGCAAUAGGUAAGGGUGAAACGGUGAGGUAAGAGCUCACCAGUACUUAUGGCGACAUAGGUAGCUAGGUAAACCCCACUCGGAGCAAGACCAAGACGCAGG
RNAcentral lists this RNase P RNA (225 nucleotides) under Actinomycetota bacterium. RNAcentral describes it as "Actinobacteria bacterium partial RNase P RNA component class A". It matches the Rfam family "Bacterial RNase P class A", at positions 1 to 239 of the family's 367-position model. From Rfam's summary of the family: Ribonuclease P (RNase P) is a ubiquitous endoribonuclease, found in archaea, bacteria and eukarya as well as chloroplasts and mitochondria. Its best characterised activity is the generation of mature 5'-ends of tRNAs by cleaving the 5'-leader elements of precursor-tRNAs. Cellular RNase Ps are ribonucleoproteins. The record is from RNAcentral. Lineage: Bacteria; Bacillati; Actinomycetota.